AGCCCGCUCCCGGUAAAACGGGACGGCCCGCCAGAGGACCCCUAAACUCUGUUUCUAUAUGUAACUUCUGAGUAAAACCAUAAAUAAAUCAAAACUUUCAACAACGGAUCUCUUGGUUCUGGCAUCGAUGAAGAACGCAGCAAAAUGCGAUAAGUAAUGUGAAUUGCAGAAUUCAGUGAAUCAUCGAAUCUUUGAACGCACAUUGCGCCCGCCAGUAUUCUGGCGGGCAUGCCUGUUCGAGCGUCAUUUCAACCCUCAAGCACAGCUUGGUGUUGGGACUCGCGUUAAUUCGCGUUCCUCAAAUUGAUUGGCGGUCACGUCGAGCUUCCAUAGCGUAGUAGUAAAACCCUCGUUACUGGUAAUCGUCGCGGCCACGCCGUUAAACCCCAACUUCUGAAUGUUGACCUCGGAUCAGGUAGGAAUACCCGCUGAACUUAAGCU
RNAcentral lists this ribosomal RNA (441 nucleotides) under Fusarium oxysporum. RNAcentral's name for it is "eukaryotic LSU rRNA". The stretch from base 93 to 246 matches the Rfam family "5.8S ribosomal RNA". Lineage: Eukaryota; Fungi; Ascomycota; Sordariomycetes; Hypocreales; Nectriaceae. The record is from RNAcentral.